AUCUGCUCCAUCAGGAGUUCAUCUCAUGAGCCCAGGACAGGGUUGGGAAAGGUGAUGAUGGUUGUGCUCUUACCCAUGUGCAAGGACCUUCUAUCUCAAAGCAGAAUAUUCACUUACAGGUACUGCUUUGUUAUGAGAGGCAAUGAGGAUUCUCCAGUUGGUUUCCAAUGAGUGAAGGCUAUUUAUGCUGUCUUUCAUCUCCCACUUUGAGCAGAGCUUCUGUUCCUGCCCUCCUUAGAGCAACCACCAGCCAGUCUCUGGGUGUCAGCUGCACAUCCACCAGCAGAUGGGAAGUUGCAGGAGUUGAGAAAAACAAAAGACUUUCUUCUGGAGUGCAGUCUCAGGUGUUACAUGGAGCGUUGGAGUGCUGGAGAACUGCUGGCAGAAACUUCAUGUCGGAUCAGGA
Molecule: non-coding RNA, 406 nt
Organism: Meleagris gallopavo (turkey)
Lineage: Eukaryota; Metazoa; Chordata; Aves; Galliformes; Phasianidae
Source: RefSeq, a predicted model, not a curated record